UGCCCGAUGGUGUAAUUGGCAACACGACGGAUUCUGGCUCCGUUAUUCUAGGUUCGAGUCCUAGUCGGGCAG
This 72-nucleotide transfer RNA is filed under the name Pirellulaceae bacterium. RNAcentral describes it as "tRNA-Gln". It matches the Rfam family "tRNA". Rfam says of the family: Transfer RNA (tRNA) molecules are approximately 80 nucleotides in length. Their secondary structure includes four short double-helical elements and three loops (D, anti-codon, and T loops). The record is from RNAcentral. Lineage: Bacteria; Pseudomonadati; Planctomycetota; Planctomycetia; Pirellulales; Pirellulaceae.